Molecule: unclassified non-coding RNA, 561 nt
Filed under: Hevea brasiliensis (rubber tree)
Lineage: Eukaryota; Viridiplantae; Streptophyta; Magnoliopsida; Malpighiales; Euphorbiaceae
Source: RNAcentral
AAAUCAGCAUUCUAUUCACUUUCCAGGGUCUUUAAGGAAUCCAGCAUUACUGAAUAUAGUGUCAAGGAAAAUGUAAUGGCACCUGGAAAGCAAGAGAUAUUAAUUGACAACAAACAGCAUUAUAUAUUCUUGGGAAGAAGCAUAAAUAUGGUAUCACUCAUCAAGCUGUAUGUUGAGGAUGGGAAAGUCAUUCGCCAUGAAGAUUGGUGGAACAAGAAGCCCAUUGGCAAUCGACACACAAGUAUGUUCCCAGUGGUUGGCCGUUUUAAAGAAAUUAUUCGCAGGGGAUUGAUGCUUGCAACACAUGCUAUGAUGGGAUUUGGGAAGGAUCCAAACGUAAAAUAGAAAGAUCUAUUAUGCGUGUUUUUUCUUACUUUGUUCAGGUGAUUUUCGUGUAUUUAUAUUAUUGUAUGUUUCUUGUUCGUUGAUGUUCCAAGCUGUGCAGGCUUUCAGAUGAAUUAAGGUUUCAAACUAUUCUUCUGCUCGAUAUUAGAAAUGAUUAGCAUUUGGGGGUUGCAUUAUGAUCACUAUAAGUUGAUUGAACACAUAUAUCAUAAUAGA